UGGGCCGUCGCCAAGUGGUAAGGCACCGGAUUUUGAUUCCGGCAUGCGCAGGUUCGAAUCCUGCCGGCCCAGCCA
Molecule: transfer RNA, 75 nt
Filed under: Gammaproteobacteria bacterium
Lineage: Bacteria; Pseudomonadati; Pseudomonadota; Gammaproteobacteria
Description: tRNA-Gln
Rfam family: tRNA
About the family: Transfer RNA (tRNA) molecules are approximately 80 nucleotides in length. Their secondary structure includes four short double-helical elements and three loops (D, anti-codon, and T loops).
Source: RNAcentral